AAUUCUGCUUGAGCACAAUGUCUCCAACGACAACGACUUGCUCUUUAAGAUGUACCAGAUUGAGGUGGUGGACGAGGACACAAAUACCACAAUCACUUACACGUCAGAGUACGAGG
This 116-nucleotide non-coding RNA is filed under the name Picochlorum sp. RCC944. Lineage: Eukaryota; Viridiplantae; Chlorophyta; Trebouxiophyceae. The record is from RNAcentral.